Molecule: microRNA, 24 nt
Filed under: Vitis vinifera (wine grape)
Lineage: Eukaryota; Viridiplantae; Streptophyta; Magnoliopsida; Vitales; Vitaceae
Description: vvi-miR3636-3p
Source: miRBase by way of RNAcentral
GUCUGUCGGAGAAGCAAGUCGGAG